Long non-coding RNA from Engraulis encrasicolus (European anchovy), 308 nucleotides. RefSeq lists it as uncharacterized. The transcript has 3 exons. NCBI's taxonomy places the organism in Eukaryota, Metazoa, Chordata, Actinopteri, Clupeiformes, Engraulidae. The record is from RefSeq and is a predicted model, not a curated record.
GCAGUCACCCGGUGGAGGAACUUGUUUUUUGACAGGCAUACUACAGAUGCUGUGCUGCGAACGGACACUGCAGUCACCUGUGGGAGGGGUCAAUCAAAUCGGAUCUCAAAAACAGAUGUCGCGAAUCUGAUCUGAUCUACCUACCUCUAUGUGGCAAUAGAGUACCUGCUUUUACUGGCCAGGGGACCAAGAUGAAAACAAGAGGCCUGUACCCAGACAUACAAGCACCCAUCAAGUCACCCAGUCCUCCACCACCUGCCGUGCAGCUAUACCCAUCCAUCAAAUCCAGCCACUUACCCACCCUAACC